GACGAACGCUGGCGGCGUGCCUAACACAUGCAAGUCGAACGGAACUGUUUUGAAAGAUUUCUUCGGAAUGAAUUUGAUUUAGUUUAGUGGCGGACGGGUGAGUAACGCGUGAGUAACCUGCCUUCAAGAGGGGAAUAACAUUCUGAAAAGAAUGCUAAUACCGCAUGACAUAUCGGAACCACAUGGUUUUGAUAUCAAAGAUUUUAUCGCUUGAAGAUGGACUCGCGUCCGUUUAGUUAGUUGGUGAGGUAACGGCUCACCAAGACCGCGAUCGGUAGCCGGACUGAGAGGUUGAACGGCCACAUUGGGACUGAGACACGGCCCAGACUCCUACGGGAGGCAGCAGUGGGGGAUAUUGCGCAAUGGGGGCAACCCUGACGCAGCAACGCCGCGUGAAGGAUGAAGGUUUUCGGAUUGUAAACUUCUUUUAUUAAGGACGAAAAAUGACGGUACUUAAUGAAUAAGCUCCGGCUAACUACGUG
RNAcentral lists this ribosomal RNA (482 nucleotides) under uncultured bacterium. RNAcentral's name for it is "partial 16S ribosomal RNA". It matches the Rfam family "Bacterial small subunit ribosomal RNA", at positions 28 to 507 of the family's 1533-position model. The record is from RNAcentral.